AAAACUGUGAAACCAUACUUAAAACCAUUCUCAGCGACUUUAUUAUUACUAUUAUUAUUAACAUUAUAAUCUAUAUAUAUUUUAAUAGACAUAAAAAUGUUUAUAACCCUUGAACCAUGGAAAGUGGGAGUUAUUAUUGACUAAUUCGAAUAACCUAAAUUUCACAACGCUAUAGUUUUCUAACAAUGGCGAUCAACCAUCAUUCUAUAUGUCGCAUUGAUAUAUAUAUAUUUUUAUACCUUCUUAACAAAUUUUUGAGUAAAAGAUUAUAUAAAAGGAUUUUUAUUUUUAGUCAAACUAGUUACUUUCUUAGUUAAAAAUCAACUAUCCCACAUUCAGUUCAUUUUCCGGGACGCUAUUUCUUUUUAUUUUUAAACAUGAUUAUGAAAUAAUUUUCAGUGCAGAAAAUAAGAAAUAUAUUUUGUUAAAACAAUAACAAUCGGAGUUUUCUUUAGUAAUUAUUCUAUAUUUUCGAUUUUUGUAAAUAUUUACUUUAAUAUUCGACAGAUGCAAAAUGGCGGAAGGGAGGGGGGGCUGUAAGCUUUUUUUUUAAGCCAUGGAGUGACGUGGCAAAUACUAUGCAGUAAACAACACGUGAUCAAGACGUGGGUGUGAGUUGCAGAACAGACAUUAACAAAUUCCUCCGCUAUGAUACUAUUUAUGUAUAUCGUAUUAUAAGUUUUAAAUUUUCAUAUAUUUUUUCUUAUAUAUAAUUAAUAUAUAAUUUUUAUUUGAUGGACAAGGAAAAUAUCCAUUAGAUUUAAUUGUAUUUGAAAAUAUAAAAAAAAUGUGAAUGGAACUAUAUUUUACCUUGGGUGCGUAUUAAUACUGAAAAAUGUGAUUAGACCUAUUAGUAUAAAUACUACUGGUGUACUAUUUUCCAGCAGUUGCAGUACCCGGUCGCCUGAUCAAGUUCUUGUCAAUUUGUCGUAAAACUUUUUUUCCUUAUUUUUUCGAAAUUUAAACAUAAUUAUUUGUGCAACAUUUGUAAAAUAUCAGAAAAUAAAACAUUUGUAUUUUGUGUUAUACAUAUGUCUAUUUAUUCUUUUUAAUAUUUUACUUGACUUUUUCUUCUGCAGUUAACGUUAUUAGGAGUGAAAUAUUUCGACAACCUGGCUUGUCAACAUAGUGAGAAUCAAAGGUUCACUGAUCUAUCCUGGUUCCCAAGUAGACUCAUGCCAUUUCUGCCUAAAUUCCUGCGUAUAUUCCUACAUUUUAUGGGUAAUCAUGGUUAACUGUUUUAAUGUAUUCCGCAUCCACCCUGGCAGCUUGGAAAAAGUACACGGGCAAUCAAAACACCACUUUUUGUAAGGUUUCUCUUUACAUUCUUCUAUACAUUUACAGCUCCAAAUGUAAUAAAAAUUCUUGAUAAGCGAAAAAAAAAAAAAAGACACAUAAAAUAAUUUAAAAGAAACUACAUAUAUAUUGGUUACAGUGUAAAUGCUUAAAAUAAUUUCAUUUUAUUGAAAUAAUCGCGAAAUUUGUUGCGGCGCAAUUCUCUUUGUUCGUGGUUUUCUUUUUUCUAUAGCCAUAUGCCUCAAUAGGAGAAAGCUGGCCUUAUAAAAUUGAAAUAAACCAUUUUGUGACGGAACUCCUGCUACUAGAAGAAAUAACCUGCUUACUGUGUGAUGAGUGACGUGUGUGGGUAAAAUUGUAAGUUGUGUUGAGUAAAGGUCGAGUGUCCUUGAGACGCCAUUUUGAUUUAUUUCUACGUCUUUUGUAUUUAGUUCGUGACCUUAUUUUGUCGACUAAUUUUUUUUUUCAAAUUGACAUUUAAAAAAGUCUUCACAGUUAAUGUAAUUGUAAAACGAUUGUUGAAAGCACUAGUUUUUAAUUAAGUUCUGACUAUUUGAGAAUUAUGACGGAAUUUUUUUUUUCGAAUUAAGUUUAGAGACUUCUGUUUUAUUAGAACAUAAAAUACGUCAUACGUAAUAAUGACGAAAAGAUUCGUAAGCUAAAUUGACGUUAAUUUAGAAUCUUGUUUUACAUGAAUUUGUAUUUAAAUACCAGUGACGAACUUAACUAAUCAAAACUUCAUUUGUCAGUAUGCGAAGCAUUUUCCUAAUGCUAAUGUGAUGACAUUUUAUGAAGAUUAAAUUUGAUCUGAUGAGACGUAGAUUUGCUCCUCAAAGAUGGUCGUCUUUGAGGGCUUGCUUGAUGGUCGCGUUAUGGGGAUUUUAGGUCAACGAUUUCAUGUGCCAGACCUGCAUUCUUGGGGGGAAAAGUCCGAGUUUUUGGAAUACUGUUUGAAUUCGAGAUAAAAUAAUAAGAAUUUUCUCUAACAAUGAGUUGUUUAAACAUGCUUGCUUGUGUUAUAGCAUUUUCUCGUCCACGCAAUUUGUUUGUAUUUUAUGGCUACAGUGUUCACCUUGAGAAUCCUGUUUUUGAGACUACAGCAAGGUCUGUCAUUUCUCGCGCUCCGGUCCACGGGUUGCCGCCAGUUGGCUACUUUGGACCCAAACCCUUUGUCUUGUCCAGGCUCAUGUCUCCCCAUCAUAUUGUGUACAUACAGAUACAACAAAGGAUAUCUAAACAACGGUUCAGGUAAACCCUGGUGUUUUACUUUUGCUACCCUGUGUAUGUGGACACGAUAUGAAUGUUGUCACUUGUAUGUAUUAGAUGGUGAUGGUGACUCGUGUUGAGUGAAUGAUUGAUUUUGACAUCUGUAUUGAAUUGUGUAUAUUUUAUGGUCACUAAUGCGGUAUGGCAACACUGGAUUGUGAAUAUUCUCGAUCGAUAGUACUGUUACUUUAAGGGAAUCGGAACUCGUUUAAGACAGUUUGUAUGGGAAAUAUCAGUGUGAUGCUUCUUAAGUUAGCUUUGUUGCAGAAUAUUCUAGUAAACGUGAUUAUAUAGGAAUUGACAAAUUAAUUUUUUGUAUUUAGUGCAACAAGAAAUUGUAAUUAUCUAAAUAUAGUUUCAAGUGCAAUGUGUUUUCCACUCUUGGGAAGCCACUUGUUUUAGCUGGCUAUUUUUAUUCUAGGGAUGUUUCACCAUGCAAAGUUUAGCCAUUUCCUGGCAAGGGAAACAAAUGUUGAUGACAUAAGGAUAAAUUUUUACUAUUACACUUUGUCAAGCUAUUUAUAGCUCGUGUUACUAUUGAUAUUUUGACUUCUUUCAAUUCCAAAGUCAGAAUUGGAAUAUAGUAAUAUUCGUUACGCGCUUGUCUUGACUAGUUUAUAAAUGAAGAUGAGUUAUUCUGAAUUAUGUGGAAGUUGUUGGCCUUUGUCGAGUGAUAAUUUAAAGCUAAUCAGAAAAGAUUGGUAGCAAAUAUUAAAUAUUUUGCUUGUAUGCGGGGAAUGAAUUCAUUUUGCUUUCAUUUCUCGAAACCCUUUGUAUUUAGAAUGUUUAUAUUUUAACUUUUGAAAUUAUAUAAUUAGCAUUGUUAAUGUAUUUCAAUGAAAGCUUGCUAAGUUUAUUCUGCAAUUGAGUCAUGUAAUAUUCUUAGAACUAAAACAAGGUAUAUUAUCGUGAAUGAGUGAUUGUGCCCGAAAUUGUCUUAGAUGUAAGUUUAUUAGCUUCAGGCUAUUGAUGUUGUAAAUAUUGUUUGUUGAUAAAAGUAUUGGAAUUUGUACCAAUAUUUGUCUUUUUCUCCCCCCAACACGAUUUUACCUGGAUGAAAAUGGGGCUGAGAUGCUGGCAAGACGAAGUCAGCUUCUUUGGCAAAAAAAACUAGAAGAAUUAUAGAAAGGCUAUUCUGUGACAGGGUAGACAAAAAGCCAUCAAAUAUUGGGGAGCUGUUAAAUCUUAUUCAACCAAGCUACACAUAACGAUUGCCUGGGCCAUGGUUUUUUGGUUAAGGUCUGCUGUCCAAUAUUAGAAGCUUACAAGGCAAUUUGCAUACUUGUCCAAGACACUUGGGACAACUGCAGUGGCAGGAAUGUUGUGUUGGAUGAGUGCUUCAUGAAACAUGGCUUUUGAAUAUUCAAAGGAAAGGGUUUCUGUAAAUUUUAACAAGUUUCAUCACAUUUUCUAAAUGAAAUGAGUUGUAAUUUAUUGAGCAUCAUAACCAAAACUGGAACUGGAAAUAGACAAGGCAAACAUGAAUUUACAUUUACAAAAAGACAAUCUCACAUGAACUAUUUUAACUGCAUACAACAAAACAACUUUGUGGAUGACAUACAGCAGUAAUGGUUAUAUAGUAUGGAAUAUACAAAUGUGCUGAAAGAUUAGGGUGAAAUCGAGCUUCAUGGUUACGUGAAUAGGGAAAAAAAAAUAGGUUCUUAUGAAACAUCACAUCUUUAAAUAGUGAACCAAACAAAGUGAAUGUCAAUUUGAUAAACUUGGAAGGCAAAUAUUCUCAUCUUGCGAUGUUCUCCAGAAUGAAGUGUCUCAUUUGAGAUGAGUUGUUAUUGCUGCAAUACAGAUAGAAAGAAUUUUGAAAUGGAUGACAGCAGAAAAAAGUCCUACAGUAUGAUGUAUAUUAUCCUGAAACUCUCCAACAAAUUCUUCAGGUAUGAUAGGUUAAUUCACGGGUUGGAGAGAUUGCUUUUUUUAUUUUAUUACAGAUUUUUCUUUCAUUGUAUUGCAAUAACAAUUUCCAGAAGAAAAUAGGAUGAAUAUGUAAUAAGAUAAAUUUAUCAUGGCUGCAAAAUUAAUUUUGAUCUUGAUAAUAACUAAAAAAAAAACAAGUGUUAAAUUUUGUUUCCAAAUGAUAGACCUUUCGUAUGUAGAACUUCAGGUUCCAUUGCCAUUUAAAAUGUUGGGGGUUUUUUCCCUCCUGUAUUCUAUUUAAAAUAUAAUUACAAGUAAUAUAGAAGAUAAAUUUAAAAUUCUUUGACAAAUUUGUUCCUAGGGAGGGGGUGAAAAGUUCUAUAUUGCUAGGUGGUUUCCACCUAGCAUAUUUUUUUUCAUUUACAGAUACUGUUAUAAUUGAUGAAAUGAAUAUUCUGUAAUUGACGACAAUUUUCAUCAGCCCUUAAAAUAUUUGAAUAGGAUGAGGUAAUAUUUGUGCAAGCAUCUCUGUUAGAAUGCAGAGAAAACAGUGUCACCCACUCAUUCUGAUUUGGGAAGGGAAGAACAAAAUGUCUUCAGGUAUGUGAGAGCACUUGGCAUUAAUUGUUGUAAAGGAGAAAAUAGGAAAGAAAAUUGCAAUGUAGCACUGAAAAGUUGCAGCACCAGAUGUUUUUCCUUCCCUUUCAGGUAUUUGGUAUUUUCUUUUAAAAGGUGAUGACAACACUAAUAGUGAAUAUACAUGCAUCAUUGAUAGUUUGCAGCAGGUUAGGAGCAAAUGUAUCAAAGAAUAUGAUUGCAAGGUAAAAGGAAAUUUUUUAUAUAUAUUUACAAGAUCCAAGUCAUCUCUAACAGUUAUUGACGAUAACAGAAAAUGCAUCAUUUAUGAUAUUAACUACACUGGAAAAAAAAUUUAAUAUAUAGUAGGCAAAUGAACAACUACAGAAAUUUUUUUAAUCUUUUAUGGUUUUGUACAGUGCAAUAUCUGUUUGGAAUCAGAAGCAUGACUUCUGCAAUUUCAAAUAUAUUGUCCAGUUGGAAUUUUGUAUUAAGUGGAGACUUGUGAAAUAGAGGGUUUGGUAUGAGUAUAAGAUCAACUUGGUAUAUGAACAUGUGGAAUAUGGUUCUUUUAUUUUCAGGUACAUAAACACAUCUAUACAUGACACAGCAUCUACAAAUGAUCUAAUAUGGCGUUAACUCCUAUUCAGAUGAAUCUUCAUGAUUCACUACAGUUAGCUGACAUGACAGACCAAAAAGAAACUGUUCCUGUUUUGCAGUAACAUCUUUACAGAAAUUUGCAUAAUUGAGUAUUUUAUUAUCUUGGUUGUAAAACAAUGUCUUAACACAUUAGAAAACUUGAGCAUAUUCUGAGAGAAUCUUUAAUGAAUUGACAGCUUGAAAUGUACAAAAGAAUCAUCUUUAAAAACCUGGUGAUAGAGGGCCAUGAUUAAUAUAUGUGAAAUUAACACUUAAAAUCUGUGAUUUAUGGUUGGUAUCACUACUAUAUGUUUCACUUGUAGCUUCCUAAUCUAACGAUUACUAUGAGCUGUGAUCAACUAACACCUUCAAGCAACAGGUGGAGGUGUAAUCUUUCAUUUUCAGGUAUAUUGAGUGGCAAAUUCAUUUUCACUGUUUAAAACGAGUUUUUUUGUAAGCGUUGUGAUUGCAUAUGAACUGCAUUUUUUUUUUAAACCUUAGAUUAUCUAAGGAAACUGCUGCAUUUUUUUUUAAACCUUAGAUUAUCUAAGGAAACUGCUGCAUUUUUUUUUAACCUUAGAUUAUCUAAGGAAACUACAUUCGUGGAUAAGAACUUCUCUGUUAAUGAAUACCUAUUACAAAAAUUACAGCAUGAUUUACGAAAUAAAGGAAUGGGUGUAACAGUAUCAGCAUUAUGAUGCACCUGCUCUGAGAUAA
Molecule: long non-coding RNA, 6366 nt
Organism: Octopus bimaculoides (California two-spot octopus)
Lineage: Eukaryota; Metazoa; Mollusca; Cephalopoda; Octopoda; Octopodidae
Source: RefSeq, a predicted model, not a curated record